Small nucleolar RNA from Myxocyprinus asiaticus (Chinese sucker), 155 nucleotides. RefSeq annotates it as small nucleolar RNA U109. The transcript has a single exon. Lineage: Eukaryota; Metazoa; Chordata; Actinopteri; Cypriniformes; Catostomidae. The record is from RefSeq and is a predicted model, not a curated record.
UUGCAUGCGAUAGCAAUUUUGCUACACUUUCACUUUCCCUUACUGAUGGGAUUGUGGAAAUGCAAACAGAAGCAUGCUAGAGAAACUCGUGGAGUCAACAGGGCCACUAGUCUCUCAAGCACAGGCUGGAUUGGUAGUAUAAAGCUCCAACACUG